GGAUUUGUCAGUUGGUCGGGCUUCACUGUCCGUAUUGACUUGAUGGAUUCUUACCUUCUGAAUAACCAGCAUGCUAUUAAGUUAGUGCGUUGGGGAAGCAGAUCUAUUACCUUGAAAAAAUUAGAGUGCUUAAAGCGAGCUAGUGCUUGAAUAGAUUAGCAUGGAAUAAUAAAAUAGGACGGCAUGGUUCUAUUUUGUUGGUUUCUAGGAUCACCGUA
RNAcentral lists this ribosomal RNA (218 nucleotides) under Campeiostachys nutans. RNAcentral's name for it is "Elymus nutans partial small subunit ribosomal RNA". The stretch from base 33 to 218 matches the Rfam family "Eukaryotic small subunit ribosomal RNA", at positions 678 to 864 of the family's 1831-position model. RNAcentral also lists the same sequence under 2 other names. Lineage: Eukaryota; Viridiplantae; Streptophyta; Magnoliopsida; Poales; Poaceae. The record is from RNAcentral.